GACGAACGCUGGCGGCGUGCUUAACACAUGCAAGUCGAACGGAAAGGCCCUGCUUUUGUGGGGCGCUCGAGUGGCGAACGGGUGAGUAACACGUGAGUAACCUGCCCUUGACUUUGGGAUAACUUCAGGAAACUGGGGCUAAUACCGGAUAGGAGCUCCUGCUGCAUGGUGGGGGUUGGAAAGUUUCGGCGGUUGGGGAUGGACUCGCGGCUUAUCAGUGUGUUGGUGGGGUAGUGGCUUAACAAGGCUUUGACGGGUCGCCGGCCUGAGAGGGUGACCGGCCACAUUGGGACUGAGAUAGGGCCCAGACUCCUACGGGAGGCAGAAGUGGAAAAUAGUGCACGAUGGGCGGAAGCCUGAUGCAGCAACGUCGCGUGCGGGAUGACUGCCGUCGGGUUGUAACCCGCUUUCGCCUGUGACGAAGAGUGAGUGACGGUAAUGGGUAAAGAAGCACCGGCUAACUACGUG
This 468-nucleotide ribosomal RNA is filed under the name uncultured bacterium. Its description in RNAcentral is "partial 16S ribosomal RNA". It matches the Rfam family "Bacterial small subunit ribosomal RNA", at positions 28 to 507 of the family's 1533-position model. The record is from RNAcentral.